AGUAACGCGUGAGGAACCUGCCUCAAAGAGGGGGACAACAGUUGGAAACGACUGCUAAUACCGCAUAAGCCCACGGUGCCGCAUGGCACAGAGGGAAAAGGAGCAAUCCGCUUUGAGAUGGCCUCGCGUCCGAUUAGCUAGUUGGUGAGGUAAUGGCCCACCAAGUCGACGAUCAGUAGCCGGACUGAGAGGUUGAACGGCCACAUUGGGACUGAGACACGGCCCAGACUCCUACGGGAGGCAGCAUG
RNAcentral lists this ribosomal RNA (248 nucleotides) under uncultured bacterium. Its description in RNAcentral is "partial 16S ribosomal RNA". It matches the Rfam family "Bacterial small subunit ribosomal RNA", at positions 109 to 353 of the family's 1533-position model. The record is from RNAcentral.